This 274-nucleotide ribosomal RNA is filed under the name uncultured bacterium. RNAcentral describes it as "partial 16S ribosomal RNA". It matches the Rfam family "Bacterial small subunit ribosomal RNA", at positions 85 to 354 of the family's 1533-position model. The record is from RNAcentral.
CCGCCGGCGACCGGCGCACGGGUGAGUAACACGUAUGCAACCUGGCCGUGACAGAUGGAUAACCGGGAGAAAUCCCGCCUAAUACAGCAUGACGCCGGGAAGGGACAUCCCUUUCCGGCCAAAGGGGGCGACUCCGGUCACGGAUGGGCAUGCGGCGCAUUAGGUAGUUGGUGGGGGCAACGGCCCACCAAGCCGACGAUGCGUAGGGGUUCUGAGAGGAAGGUCCCCCACAUUGGAACUGAGACACGGUCCAAACUCCUACGGAAGGCAGCAG